Molecule: non-coding RNA, 19 nt
Filed under: Rattus norvegicus (Norway rat)
Lineage: Eukaryota; Metazoa; Chordata; Mammalia; Rodentia; Muridae
Source: RNAcentral
UGACAUUAGAGGCUGCCCA